Manis javanica (Malayan pangolin) is the source of this 3453-nucleotide non-coding RNA. The record is from RefSeq and is a predicted model, not a curated record. Lineage: Eukaryota; Metazoa; Chordata; Mammalia; Pholidota; Manidae.
GCAGCGGGUUCCAGGAGCCAAAACUGAAGCUGGCUGGGGGAAAGAAGGACCCACGUGGGGGACAGAAAUGGAGAGCUGUUACCAGCUUUCCCGCAUUCUUUCUCACCCUCAGGGCUGGACCCCCUGGCAAAGAUGUGCAGAAGAUUGUCUUCUGUGGAUCUGAGAUGCUACAGAAGAUCCAGGAGGGCCAUUGUAAUCCCUAUACAUCCCCUAUGCUACAGCCAUGAUUUGUCUCCAGAAAGGUCUGUAUCUGAACCAACUAUGACAGUAUUGAAUAACUUUGCAAAGAGCUUUUUGAAAGUCCACUGUGGAAAAGUCCCCUGGUCAGGAUGAAUUGACCAAAAAUUGCCAUCAUCCUAAAGAUGCUACAGAAUUAUUUUUAUGCUUUUUCAUUCAGCAUAAUUGCCUAUUCCAGCAAGUGUAGAGGGACCUUAAUCUCUUACUUCUGAAGAUUUGGAUUUUUCUUUGAAGGGAAACUGCCAUGGUAACUCAGUCAUCCACCUGAAAUUUAAACCUAGCCAAUUUAUCUUCAUUCAUGGUAACCUUGUUUUAGCUGAUCAGGACUCAUUGAUUGAUUGAUUGCCUUAAGCACUGGGUCAUAACUGGUUUUCAUGAAGCUUUGUAGGAAACUUCUUUUCUGAGAGAACAUGUAGUUCACUACUUGACCUCUGGGAUACUGAUGAUCUACUUUUCAAAGCGCUCUAGUGCUCCAUCUAACAUUCUUGACCUAAAGUUCUAGGACCUUCUCUGUCUGGCUCACUGUAUGCUCUUUUUUGAGUGAAAUUUUAGGUCAACACCAGGUAUUUCUGUCUGACGGUUGAAAUUCUGGGACCAACCCUUAUCAUCUCCUGGAACAACACUUCUCUACCCUAUUUGAACAGUAGAAACACCUAGAGAAUUUGAAACAAAAAACAAAACAAAACAAAAAGCAACCCUGUGUCUUGCCCCACUCAGACUGAUAGAACUAAUUCAGGGAGCAGCUUAAGCUUCCACAUUUUUCAAAGUGCUCCAAAUGAUUCUGAUCAAUAACAAAAGCUAAGAAGAACUGCUCUUAAUAUUCGUCUUGCCAGAAAAAUAAGACUGUGUGAAGAGAACCUUCAUCUCAUAUUAGGAAAGAAAGCUUUGAUAUUUCCAGGAAAAUUGGAAGACUGAGCAGGUGCACAAAGCCUCCCACUUGGUUCUGAACACGCAUAUUUAUAUUGAUAAAAUAUAACAAAAAGGGAGAAAGGAAAAGAAAAACCCACAGGAGCCAAAUGGAACUAAAAGCCAAAUGAAGGUCUUGGAGGCAAAGCCUUGAGAGCAGAUCGUCCUAAUGCCAAGUGGAUCAGGGCCAGGGAGGCGGUGGGCUCUGGACGUGGCCGUGGUGUGUCUGAGGAUAUCUAUCCUAGACGUGGGAUUCUCAGCUGUGGCACGAAGAUCCACUGAAUUGUGAUGGAUAGGAAAUUAGAAACUUUUCUCAUAUUUCCUGGGUAUCAGUGCACCCUUAAUUGCCCCUGAAGGAUGACAACUUGAGUCACAUAUAACCCGAUUUAAAGGAAAUGAAGAAAGUGGCGUUUCCUGCACUGGGGUUGCUAUUCACAAAUCCCUAUUUACUAUAGGGGAAAAGGGGAAACUUAGCCGCACCAGUGGGAAGGGUGUUUUCAUGAGGCAAUGUUCCUGAGGAGUUGAAUUUGGAAACAGUCUACUGCAAAACUUUAUGGUCCUGAAGCCUCCAUCAGGAAUGUGGCCCAGACGUCUCCUGUGCCUCUCAGAGGACAUCAGGGAAGAGGCCAGACCUUGAGAAACAUAACCAUGAGAUGCUGAGAAAUAAAAGUGUGGGUGGGUGGCUCUGAGACGCUGGCUAUACCACCUGUGUCUUGUCCUCCUUCCCCUUCUAGGUGGAAGCACUGGUUAAGAGAGAGGCCAAGAGGGUGUGGCAUUUUCAGUUCAGGUCAUUAUGAUCCUCAAAGCUACCCCAACUCUAGGAUGCCACAAUGCACAGCAUUUCUCUUGGUAGAGUUCUUAGGUCUGAUCUGUUGAAAUCUUGGUGAUUCAUCUUCCCACUGUGUGCUGUCCAACACGGGAGCCAUGAGCCAUCAUGUCACUACUCAAAUGUAAACCAACUGAAGUUAAAUCAAAUUCAAAAUUCAGCUCUUCAGCCACACUGCCAUAUUUCAAGGGCCAACUAGCCAUACCGGACAGUGUGCAGACAGAAGUGCAGAAAGUCCUGUUGGACAGUGAUGUUCUAGUUAUUCGAGAUACAAGUUGAAAAGGGUCAGGUUAUGAAGGUGUCAACCAGGGACUUUGUACCAAAGGCCACUUACUCUCAUUACCUUCAGUGAACACUGCAGGCAUCUUCAGUGACAGACAGACAGACAGAUGGAAAAAGGACCACACCAUGCCUUAUGAAAAUUUGAUACAUAUUUAAAGCAAUCAUGUCAUUUCCAGUCUCUCUUUUGGAGGGAUGUUAUUUAUUGUAAGACAUCAUUUUUAUUAAAUACACUGUAAUACAAGAGACUUUCCAUGUCAGGUUGAGAGAAGCUGGUCACAUGAUUCACAAAUAAAACUUUUUUUUUUUUUAACACUGAUAUUCUGGUGUCACUUUGAAAUCAGCCAAGAUGCAGUGGGUCUUAGUAAAGCAAUGGACCUCAAAACAGAUUGCAAAACAAGAACCAGUAAGUAUCAGCACAGAGACGUCACAUUAAAAAGAAAAAAUAAAGCAAAUGAGAAGAGUGUUUCAAAUACCAGGUCACAAUUUAAGGGGCAAUAUAUUCUCAGAGAGACAGUGAAAUAUGUGUGGUGUUUGUGUGUGUGUGUGUGUGUGUGUGUGUGUGUGUGUGUGCACAGCCCAGAUAUAUACAAACAUCUCUCCAUGUACAGAAGCAAAUGCAGAGAGAGUCCACAUCUCUAGGCAGUUCUGUAAGUGAUAGGUAAUGAUCAAUGAAGGCAGGGAGCAAUAUUUCACCAUAAUUUGGUCAUUUGUCAGGGGAUUACAGAUUUAAAAUCCACAUUUAAUUCAAAGACCUUGUAUUUAAAAACAUGUCCAGUUGUUUUAUACAUUUUUAAAGCAAUAGUAAGAUAUACAAGCUGCAAGAUGUAGGCCAUUUUACAUUUCAUUUCAUUUUCUCUAAUUUCUUUAUCCAGUUCAAACAUGUGGCUAUUAGCAGCGUUUAUUAUGCUUGCUCCAGGAGGUUGGAUCAGCCAACCUUCACUCAGCAUCAUUUUUAGUAAUGCACAGACAAAAUAAAUAAAACAAACAUGGACCUGGCCUAGAAUGCAUAGACUUAAAAAAUGACAUCCCCAUGUUUUCCCAUGUCGUCUCCUGAGACGUAUGUUAAGAUGGCAAAAUAGUUGCUUGGUUGCUGUUGUGAAGUUCACAGUGUUUUGCCUGCAACACAUAUACAUAUAUAUAAAUUUUUUUGCUUUGCUUUGUGUUUGUGAUGAAUGGAGCAUAAAUAAAUAAAUAAAUAAAUA